AGUCGAGCGGUAGAGAGAAGCUUGCUUCUCUUGAGAGCGGCGGACGGGUGAGUAAUGCCUAGGAAUCUGCCUGGUAGUGGGGGAUAACGUUCGGAAACGGACGCUAAUACCGCAUACGUCCUACGGGAGAAAGCAGGGGACCUUCGGGCCUUGCGCUAUCAGAUGAGCCUAGGUCGGAUUAGCUAGUUGGUGGGGUAAUGGCUCACCAAGGCGACGAUCCGUAACUGGUCUGAGAGGAUGAUCAGUCACACUGGAACUGAGACACGGUCCAGACUCCUACGGGAGGCAGCAGUGGGGAAUAUUGGACAAUGGGCGAAAGCCUGAUCCAGCCAUGCCGCGUGUGUGAAGAAGGUCUUCGGAUUGUAAAGCACUUUAAGUUGGGAGGAAGGGCAGUAAAUUAAUACUUUGCUGUUUUGACGUUACCGACAGAAUAAGCACCGGCUAACUCUGUGCCAGCAGCCGCGGUAAUACAGAGGGUGCAAGCGUUAAUCGGAAUUACUGGGCGUAAAGCGCGCGUAGGUGGUUAGUUAAGUUGGAUGUGAAAUCCCCGGGCUCAACCUGGGAACUGCAUUCAAAACUGACUGACUAGAGUAUGGUAGAGGGUGGUGGAAUUUCCUGUGUAGCGGUGAAAUGCGUAGAUAUAGGAAGGAACACCAGUGGCGAAGGCGACCACCUGGACUGAUACUGACACUGAGGUGCGAAAGCGUGGGGAGCAAACAGGA
This 722-nucleotide ribosomal RNA is filed under the name Pseudomonas fluorescens. RNAcentral describes it as "bacterial SSU rRNA". It matches the Rfam family "Bacterial small subunit ribosomal RNA", at positions 60 to 777 of the family's 1533-position model. Lineage: Bacteria; Pseudomonadati; Pseudomonadota; Gammaproteobacteria; Pseudomonadales; Pseudomonadaceae. The record is from RNAcentral.